GAUGAAGAACGCAGCGAAAUGCGAUACGUAAUGUGAAUUGCAGAAUUCAGUGAAUCAUCGAGUCUUUGAACGCACAUUGCGCCCCCUGGUAUUCCGGGGGGCAUGCCUGUCCGAGCGUCAUUGCUGCCCUCAAGCACGGCUUGUGUGUUGGGCCUCCGUCCUCCUCCCGGGGGACGGGCCCGAAAGGCAGCGGCGGCACCGCGUCCGGUCCUCGAGCGUAUGGGGCUUCGUCACCCGCUCUUGUAGGCCCGGCCGGCGCUUGCCGACACAUCAAUCUUUUUUCCAGGUUGACCUCGGAUCAGGUAGGGAUACCCGCUGAACUUAAGUAUAUCAAUAAGCGGAGGA
This 345-nucleotide unclassified non-coding RNA is filed under the name soil metagenome. RNAcentral describes it as "partial contains 5.8S ribosomal RNA, internal transcribed spacer 2, and large subunit ribosomal RNA". The stretch from base 1 to 120 matches the Rfam family "5.8S ribosomal RNA", at positions 35 to 154 of the family's 154-position model. The record is from RNAcentral.